UACGUAGGUGGCAAGCGUUAUCCGGAUUUAUUGGGUGUAAAGGGCGUGUAGGCGGGAGCGCAAGUCAGAUGUGAAAACUCAGGGCUCAACCCUGAGCCUGCAUUUGAAACUGUGUUUCUUGAGUGCUGGAGAGGCAAUCGGAAUUCCGUGUGUAGCGGUGAAAUGCGUAGAUAUACGGAGGAACACCAGUGGCGAGGGCGGAUUGCUGGACAGUAACUGACGCUGAGGCGCGAAAGCGUGGGGAGCAAACUGG
This 253-nucleotide ribosomal RNA is filed under the name uncultured bacterium. RNAcentral's name for it is "partial 16S ribosomal RNA". It matches the Rfam family "Bacterial small subunit ribosomal RNA", at positions 524 to 776 of the family's 1533-position model. The record is from RNAcentral.